GAUGAACGCUAGCGGCAGGCCUAAUACAUGCAAGUCGAACGAGAUUAAGAGGCUUGCUUCUUAUGAAAGUGGCGCACGGGUGCGUAACGCGUAUGCAACCUACCUUAAUCAGGGGGAUAGCCCGAAGAAAUUCGGAUUAAGACCGCAUAAAAACACAGGAUAGCAUUAUCCAAUGUUCAAAUAUUUAUAGGAUUAAGAUGGGCAUGCGUGUCAUUAGCUAGUUGGCGGGGUAACGGCCCACCAAGGCGACGAUGACUAGGGGAUCUGAGAGGAUGACCCCCCACACUGGUACUGAGACACGGACCAGACUCCUACGGGAGGCAGCAGUAAGGAAUAUUGGUCAAUGGAGGGAACUCUGAACCAGCCAUUCCGCGUGCAGGAAGACAGCCCUCUGGGUCGUAAACUGCUUUUAUUCGGGAAUAAACCUUUCUACGUGUAGGAAGCUGAAUGUACCGAAGGAAUAAGGAUCGGCUAACUCCGUG
Molecule: ribosomal RNA, 482 nt
Filed under: uncultured bacterium
Lineage: Bacteria
Description: partial 16S ribosomal RNA
Rfam family: Bacterial small subunit ribosomal RNA
Source: RNAcentral